AUUGAACGCUGGCGGCAGGCCUAACACAUGCAAGUCGAGCGGAAGCACGGUAAGCGCUCGCUCUUACGGUUGGCGACGGGCGGGUGAGUGAUAAGUACAUCGCCAUCUACUUUUUCUGGGGUGAUAACGUGGGGCCUCAUACGCUACUAGCGCAUAUGAUGAACGGGUGGGAUCAGUGGAUCUUCGGACCUUUGGUGAUACUAGGAGCCGGUGUCGGAUUAGCUAGUUGGCGGGGUAAAGGCCCACCAAGGCGACGAUCCGUAGCUGGUCUGAGAGGAUGAUCAGCCACACUGGAACUGAGACACGGUCCAGACUCCUACGGGAGGCAGCAGUGGGGAAUAUUGGACAAUGGGCGAAAGCCUGAUCCAGCCAUGCCGCGUGGGUGAAGAAGGUCUUCGGAUUGUAAAGCUCUUUUAUUGGGGAAGAAAAGCAGUAAGUUAAUACCUGGCUGUUUUGACGGUACCAAAAGAAUAAGCACCGGCUAACUUCGUG
RNAcentral lists this ribosomal RNA (492 nucleotides) under uncultured bacterium. RNAcentral describes it as "partial 16S ribosomal RNA". It matches the Rfam family "Bacterial small subunit ribosomal RNA", at positions 30 to 507 of the family's 1533-position model. The record is from RNAcentral.